AUGGGGAAUAUCUUUGCAAACCUCUUCAAAGGCCUUUUUGGCAAGAAAGAAAUGCACAUUCUCAUGGUGGGCCUAGAUGCUGCAGGAAAGACAAUUCUAUACAAACUGAAGCUGGGUGAAAUUGUGACCACCAUCCCCACCAUUGGUUUCAAUGUGGAGACCACUGAGUACGAGACAUCAGCUUCACCGUGUGGGACAUGGGUGGCCAGGGCAAGAUCUGGCCUCUCUGGUGUCACUACUUCCAGAAUACUCAAGGCUUGAUCUUUGUAGUGGACAGCAAUGACAAAGUGUGUGGUAACGAGGCCUGUGAGGAGCUCAUGAGAAUGUUGGCUGAGGAUGACCUCCAGGAUGCUGUUCUCCUGGUGUUUGCCAACAAGCAGGACCUUCCCAAUGCCAUGAAAGUGGCCAAAAUCACAGACAAGCUGGGGCUGAACUGUCUACGCCACAGGAACUGGUACAUUCAGGCCACCUGUGCCACCAGUGGGGAUGGGCUCUAUGAAGGACUAGACUGGCUGUCCAAUCAGCUCCAGAACCAGAAGUGAA
Molecule: RNA transcript, 543 nt
Organism: Nannospalax galili (Upper Galilee mountains blind mole rat)
Lineage: Eukaryota; Metazoa; Chordata; Mammalia; Rodentia; Spalacidae
Gene name: ADP-ribosylation factor 1-like
Exons: 2
Source: RefSeq, a predicted model, not a curated record